CUUGAGGCCAUUUAGGCUCCACGUUCUCGCGGCGUCGCGGUGCACGUGCGUGACCCCACGAGGACCCGGCUGCCUUCGGCCGUGGCUGCCCAGCCACAUCUCCCAGCAGGAGCUGUAGCGCCGCUGUGCGGACCCACCCGCCUAGUGCUCCGCUGCUCCAGGUAGGCGUCCGCAGGUCCCCAGCCGCCACCGGUGAAAAGGUUCACGGAAAAAUGUGAUAUAUUAAAGAAACAACUGGCAAGAGCUGGUUACAUGGACACCACCGCAAGAAGACUGGGCAUGGAGGAAGAGCAUGUGUUGUUUGGUCCACCUCUCCCCAUAGGGAGCACUGGACUCACACUAUUUGGGAACAGAGACUCACAAUAGGCCAACAAAAUUAUGCUUCUAAGUGACUGUUUUGGAACCAAAGCAAUGGCCACUAAGAAAGUUAAUAAAAGACUUUUUCCCCAAAUUUAA
Molecule: long non-coding RNA, 456 nt
Organism: Felis catus (domestic cat)
Lineage: Eukaryota; Metazoa; Chordata; Mammalia; Carnivora; Felidae
Exons: 3
Source: RefSeq, a predicted model, not a curated record